RNAcentral lists this ribosomal RNA (468 nucleotides) under uncultured bacterium. RNAcentral describes it as "partial 16S ribosomal RNA". It matches the Rfam family "Bacterial small subunit ribosomal RNA", at positions 28 to 507 of the family's 1533-position model. The record is from RNAcentral.
GAUGAACGCUGGCGGCGUGCUUAACACAUGCAAGUCGAACGGAAAGGCCCUGCUUUUGUGUGGUUCUCGAUUGGCGAACGGGUGAGUAACACGUGUGUAACCUGCCCUUGACUUUGGGAUAACUUCAGGAGACUGGGGCGAAUACCGGAUAGGAGCUCCUGCUCCGUGUUGGUGGUUGGAGAGUUGCGGCGGUGGGGGAUGUACUGGCGGCUUAUCAGCUUGUUGGUGGGGUAGUGACUGACGACGGCUUUGACGGGUAGCCUGCCUGAGAGGGUUACCGGCCACAUUGGGCCUGCGAUAGGGACCAGAAUCCUACCGGACGCAGCAGUCGGGAACCUUGCGCAAUGGGCGGAAGCCUGAUGCAGCGACGCCGCGUGCGGGAUGCCCGCUUUCGGGUUGUAAACAGCUUUGGCAUGAGACGAAGAGUGCGUGACGGUACCGGGUCAAAAAGCCACGGCUAACUACGUG